CCCCUUCCAGAGUAUCAAUUGGGAGGGCAAGUCUGGUGCCAGCAGCCGCGGUAAUUCCAGCUCCAAUAGCGUAUAUUAAACUUGUUGCAGUUAAAAAGCUCGUAGUUGAAUUUCUGCUGCAUCGUGGUUCUUCGCUAUGUCGAGUGAUCUUCGUUGUGGCUUAGUUGGGGCAUGUUUUCAUGACUCGACGUUUACUUUGAGAAAAUUAGAGUGCUUC
This 217-nucleotide ribosomal RNA is filed under the name Theileria equi. RNAcentral describes it as "partial 18S ribosomal RNA". It matches the Rfam family "Eukaryotic small subunit ribosomal RNA", at positions 530 to 777 of the family's 1831-position model. The record is from RNAcentral. Lineage: Eukaryota; Apicomplexa; Aconoidasida; Piroplasmida; Theileriidae.